Molecule: ribosomal RNA, 445 nt
Filed under: uncultured bacterium
Lineage: Bacteria
Description: bacterial SSU rRNA
Rfam family: Bacterial small subunit ribosomal RNA
Source: RNAcentral
ACCAGACUCCUACGGGAGGCAGCAGUGGGGAAUAUUGCACAAUGGAGGAAACCCUGAUGCAGCGACGCCGCGUGAGUGAAGAAGUAUUUCGGUAUGUAAAGCUCUAUCGGCAGGGAAGAAGAUGACGGUACCUGACUAAGAAGCCCCGGCUAACUACGUGCCAGCAGCCGCGGUAAUACGUAGGGGGCAAGCGUUAUCCGGAUUUACUGGGUGUAAAGGGAGCGUAGACGGCAUGGCAAGUCAGAUGUGAAAGCCCGGGGCUCAACCCCGGGACUGCAUUUGAAACUGUCAGGCUGGAGUGCAGGAGAGGUAAGUGGAAUUCCUAGUGUAGCGGUGAAAUGCGUAGAUAUUAGGAGGAACACCAGUGGCGAAGGCGGCUUACUGGACUGUAACUGACGUUGAGGCUCGAAAGCGUGGGGAGCAAACAGGAUUAGAUACCCCAGUA